GCCCAGACUCCUACGGGAGGCAGCAGUGGGGAAUAUUGCACAAUGGGGGAAACCCUGAUGCAGCGACGCCGCGUGAGCGAAGAAGUAUUUCGGUAUGUAAAGCUCUAUCAGCAGGGAAGAAAUUGACGGUACCUGAGUAAGAAGCUCCGGCUAAAUACGUGCCAGCAGCCGCGGUAAUACGUAUGGAGCAAGCGUUAUCCGGAUUUACUGGGUGUAAAGGGAGCGUAGACGGCGACGCAAGUCUGGAGUGAAAGCUGGGGGCCCAACCCCGGGACUGCUCUGGAAACUGCGGCGCUGGAGUACGGGAGGGGCGGGCGGAAUUCCUGGUGUAGCGGUGAAAUGCGUAGAUAUCAGGAGGAACACCGGCGGCGAAGGCGGCCUGCUGGACCGUGACUGACGUUGAGGCUCGAAAGCGUGGGGAGCAAACAGGAUUAGAUACCCCAGUAC
Molecule: ribosomal RNA, 447 nt
Filed under: uncultured bacterium
Lineage: Bacteria
Description: partial 16S ribosomal RNA
Rfam family: Bacterial small subunit ribosomal RNA
Source: RNAcentral